AUUUGGCAAAUUUUAUAUUCGAUUGUUUAUCAAAAACAUUUCUUUUUGUUUUUAUUUGAAGUAUAACCUGCCCACUGAUAAAUUUAAAUGGCCGCGGUAUUUUGACCGUGCAAAGGUAGCAUAAUCAUUAGUCUUUUAAUUGGGGACUGGAAUGAAUGGUUGAACGAAAUAUAUACUUUAUUUAUUUUAUUUUGUAUUGAAUUUAAUUAUUGAGUUAAAAGGCUUAAAUGUUGUUAUGGGACGAGAAGACCCUAUAGAGUUUAAUAUUAUAAUUGAUAUUAGUAGUUAUUAAUUUUUAUUAUUAGUUUUAGUUUUUGGUUGGGGUGAUUAUAAGAUAUAUAUAACUCUUUUUAUUUGAUGAUAUUAAUUUAUAGAUUUUUGAUCCUUUAUAUUGAUUAUAAGACUAAAUUACCUUAGGGAUAACAGCGUUAUCUUUUUUGAGAGUUCUCAUCGACAAUAAGGAUUGCGACCUCGAUGUUGGAUUAAGAUUAAUUUUGGGUGAAGAAUUUCAAUAAAUUAAGUCUGUUCGACUUUUAAAAUCUUACAUGAUCUGAGUUCAAACCGGUGUAAGCCAGGUUGGUUUCUAUCUAUAAUUGAUUAAAUACUUUAGUACGAGAGGACCAAGUAUU
This 629-nucleotide ribosomal RNA is filed under the name Blattodea sp. MT-2014. RNAcentral describes it as "16S ribosomal RNA". It matches the Rfam family "Bacterial large subunit ribosomal RNA", at positions 1778 to 2700 of the family's 2925-position model. Lineage: Eukaryota; Metazoa; Arthropoda; Insecta; Blattodea. The record is from RNAcentral.